Molecule: ribosomal RNA, 255 nt
Filed under: uncultured bacterium
Lineage: Bacteria
Description: partial 16S ribosomal RNA
Rfam family: Bacterial small subunit ribosomal RNA
Source: RNAcentral
UACGUAGGGUGCGAGCGUUGUCCGGAAUUAUUGGGCGUAAAGAGCUCGUAGGCGGUGUGUCGCGUCGGCCGUGAAAACCUGCAGCUUAACUGUGGGCUUGCGGUCGAUACGGGCAUCACUGGAGUUCGGCAGGGGAGACUGGAAUUCCUGGUGUAGCGGUGAAAUGCGCAGAUAUCAGGAGGAACACCGGUGGCGAAGGCGGGUCUCUGGGCCGAUACUGACGCUGAGGAGCGAAAGCGUGGGGAGCGAACAGGA